UUAAUUGAAGAGUUUGAUCAUGGCUCAGAUUGAACGCUGGCGGCAGGCCUAACACAUGCAAGUCGAGCGGCAGCACAGAGGAACUUGUUCCUUGGGUGGCGAGCGGCGGACGGGUGAGUAAUGCCUGGGAAAUUGCCCGGUAGAGGGGGGAUAACCAUUGGAAACGAUGGCUAAUACCGCAUAACCUCGCAAGAGCAAAGCAGGGGACCUUCGGGCCUUGCGCUACCGGAUAUGCCCAGGUGGGAUUAGCUAGUUGGUGAGGUAAGGGCUCACCAAGGC
RNAcentral lists this ribosomal RNA (279 nucleotides) under Vibrio cholerae. RNAcentral's name for it is "partial 16S ribosomal RNA". It matches the Rfam family "Bacterial small subunit ribosomal RNA", at positions 1 to 274 of the family's 1533-position model. The record is from RNAcentral. Lineage: Bacteria; Pseudomonadati; Pseudomonadota; Gammaproteobacteria; Vibrionales; Vibrionaceae. RNAcentral also lists the same sequence under 1 other name.